GACAAGAUUCCGGGCCCUACGGGGCGCAGCAGGCGCGAAACCUUUACACUGUACGCAGGUGCGAUAAGGGGACUCCCGAGUGUGAAGGCAUAGAGCCUUCACUUUUGUACACCGUAAAGGUGGUGUACGAAUAAGGGCUGGCAAGACCGGUGCCAGCCGCCGCGGUAAUACCGGCAGCCCGAGUGAUGGCCGAUAUUANUGGGCNUAAAGCGUCCGUAGCUGGCCGGACAAGUCCGUUGGGAAAUCUGUUCGCUUAACGAGCAGGCGUCCAGCGGAAACUGUUCGGCUUGGGACCGGAAGACCUGAGGGGUACGUCCGGGGUAGGAGUGAAAUCCUGUAAUCCUGGACGGACCACCGGUGGCGAAAGCGCCUCAGGAGGACGGAUCCGACAGUGAGGGACGAAAGCUAGGGUCUCGAACCGGAUUAGAUACCCGGGUAGUCCUAGCUGUAAACGAUGCCCGCUAGGUGUGGCGCAGGCUACGAGCCUGCGCUGUGCCGUAGGGAAGCCGAGAAGCGGGCCGCCUGGGAAGUACGUCUGCAAGGAUGAAACUUAAAGGAAUUGGCGGGGGAGCACUACAACCGGAGGAGCCCGCGGUUUAAUUGGACUCAACGCCGGACAUCUCACCAGCUCCGACAGUAGUAAUGACGGUCAGGUUGAUGACCUUACCCGAUGCUACUGAGAGGAGGUGCAUGGCCGCCGUCAGCUCGUACCGUGAGGCGUCCUGUUAAGUCAGGCAACGAGCGAGACCCGCACUCCUAAUUGCCAGCAGUACCCUUUGGGUAGCUGGGUACAUUAGGUGGACUGCCGCUGCUAAAGCGGAGGAAGGAACGGGCAACGGUAGGUCAGUAUGCCCCGAAUGAGCUGGGCAACACGCGGGCUACAAUGGUCGAGACAAUGGGAUGCAACUCCGAGAGGAGGCGCUAAUCUCCUAAACUCGAUCGUAGUUCGGAUUGAGGGCUGAAACUCGCCCUCAUGAAGCUGGAUUCGGUAGUAAUCGCG
Molecule: ribosomal RNA, 1000 nt
Filed under: uncultured archaeon
Lineage: Archaea
Description: bacterial SSU rRNA
Rfam family: Archaeal small subunit ribosomal RNA
Source: RNAcentral